This 253-nucleotide ribosomal RNA is filed under the name uncultured bacterium. Its description in RNAcentral is "partial 16S ribosomal RNA". It matches the Rfam family "Bacterial small subunit ribosomal RNA", at positions 524 to 776 of the family's 1533-position model. The record is from RNAcentral.
UACGGAGGGUGCAAGCGUUGUUCGGAUUUAUUGGGCGUAAAGAGCGUGUAGGCGGCCCGGUAAGUCCGCUGUGAAAGUCGGGGGCUCAACCCUCGAAUGCCGGUGGAUACUGUCGGGCUAGAGUGCGGAAGAGGCGAGUGGAAUUCCUGGUGUAGCGGUGAAAUGCGCAGAUAUCAGGAGGAACACCGAUGGCGAAGGCGGCAUCCUGGACCGGCAUUGACGCUGAGGCGCGAAAGCUAGGGGAGCAAACGGG